Ctenopharyngodon idella (grass carp) is the source of this 6214-nucleotide long non-coding RNA. RefSeq lists it as uncharacterized. Lineage: Eukaryota; Metazoa; Chordata; Actinopteri; Cypriniformes; Xenocyprididae. The transcript has 2 exons. The record is from RefSeq and is a predicted model, not a curated record.
GUUGUGCUGCCAGAGUUGAGCAUUUAAGUAACGUCAACAGCCCGUUUACUCUCUACCUCAUGGAUAUUUUGGACCUGUCCCUGGAGACGGAGCUCCGAGCGUUCUUUUUUCCUGGUCAGAAAAUUCAUUAUUCAAGGUGUAUAAACCCUCCAUCUGCUGCCUGUCUGGCUUAAACACUGCACUGUCCAUCUGAGCCAGUGGAAAUGUUUGACUCUAUCACCUCACUGUAGCAGUGCCACAAACACAAACAUCACACACGUUCAUAAAUUCAACAUCACCUGUUGUUGAUCUGAUAUUUCUCCCUCCAAAGGCAUCUAAAACACGGCUUUAUCUUGAUACAUAUCCAAAAACAACAGUAUUCACAUGGCAAAUGUCCAGUAAACAUGGCAUCAUCUUGAUUCAUAUUCAAAAAGUAUAGUAUUACCAUAGUGGACUUGGGGUAUUACUAUAGUACCAAGUCCAAAAAACACUACCUUGGUAUAUGUCCAAAACAUGGUAAUGAAUUGUAUUUUUUUGUGACAUGGACAGGUGAUAUAAUGUUGUUUUUUUGGACUUGGUAUCAUGGUAAAACCAUGCUUUUUUAUAAUGCCGUUUUUUAAAUAUGUACCAAGGUAAUACCACAUUUUUCGUGAUAUAUCAUGUAAUACAAUAGUUUUUAGAUGUGAAUCAAAACAAGACAUUUCUUAAAUAAAAAAUAAAAAAAGAAAGGUAUCAGUCAAUGUACUGCCAUGUUUUUUGACACCAAAGUGAUAUUAUGUUUUUUGGUACCUUAGUAAAACCAUGUUUUUUGUUUAUCUGUUCUUUUUUUCCCCUUUUUUACUUUGUAAAUUUGUUGUAAUAGUAUGUUUUUGGAUAUGUACCGACAUGUACUAUGGUAAUACCAUGUUGUUGUUUUUUUUAUAUGAAUCAAGAUAAUGCCAUGUUUUUGAUAAUGCCAUGUUAAUACUGUAGUUUUGUGAAUGUAUCUGUCAUGUAUUCCCUGUUUGUGGACACAUUAGUUAUUUCCUGUCUUAUGCUUUGUAGUUUUUCAUGUCGAUUAGGUUUCCCAGGUGUUUCCAUUUACCUUAUCCCCUUGUUAUCUUGUUACGCUUCCCUCUGUUUAUAUAGUGUUUGUGUUUCAUUUGUGUGCAGUUGGUCAUUGUAGGUGUUAUGUGUGGUUUCCUUCCUUCCGUGUCAUUGUUCUUAGUGUUUUCAAUGUCAUUUAUUAAACUUUUCCUGUGUUUAGAUCCGCUGUUUUGCCUGCUCAUUGACACCAGUGUGACAGUAUCAAGAUAAUGCCAUGUUUUUUUAUAUGUCCCAAGCUAAUACCACAAUUUUUGGACAUUUACCAUGGUAAUAUUCUUUAAAGUACCUUUGAUUACAUAUGUAAAAACAUAGUAUACCAAUAUUGUAAUCUUUCUGUACCAUGGUAUAUCAAUGUAAUGUACUGUAUUAAUGUACUAUCAAUUAAUGUACUGUAAUGUAAUGGUAAACAAAAGCCAUCUCCAAUUAAAAAUAGUAUGUAGUUAGUGAAAAUGUUUGUUGAUUUGGCUGUUUUUAGUGCGUCAAUAACAGCAUAUAAACUCUUGACUCACCUGGGCACGUACGUCCACUCAGAAAAGAACAGUUUCUCAGUGAGAGGUUUCUGCUUACAGCAGGAGAUAUCGACGAGGCCAGCCUGAGCUCCAGAGGAGAACAGGACGGCUCAUGGUGCACCACCGUUCUGACUGAUGAACAGAAGGAGCUCCUCACUGUGUGGUGACAUUGACAAGCAAGGGUCCAAAUGCAAAAGUACAGCUGUUCCUAAUGGACAACAUGUUUUCAAAGACUCCCAGACAUUGUAUGUGUGAACAGGGGUCAAUGACCGGUCAUAGCAACCCAAAAGGCCAUUUCUAUCCCUCUAAAGCUUGUGCCAACCAGUUACAGAUACCAGUCAGCAAUUUGGACGGUGUACAUUUGAAAUGCCUGUCUAUUUCCAUCCGACGCAAGGAUUCUGAAAGCAGAUUCGCAGUUCCCAAGAGUAUAGUGUGUGGAGGUUUCCACCUCACUGGCUUUUGAGCACACUGUUCUAACUGUAGCCACUCAGUGGUUGCCACAUCCACAGGCUGACAGCUCAGCUCUUGUCACAGGAUUGGAUGCGUGUCAUUUCGGCCUAAUACCCAUGUCAAAUGAUUUAGCUGAGGCACAGAGGUCAACAGCACCGAUAAGUCGAGACGAAUCAUGAUGGAUCACUGCCAAAGUGAAGCAUCUGGAGAUUUUUUGGGUGAAGGGAUAAGGCACAGGUGUUAAUUAGCAAGAGAUUGUCUAAUAUCAAGGAUCACAGGAUGACCAAUAACCAUGGAAACGGCUUGCUGGACAGACGGCUGCUUGGUGGUGGAAGAGCGUGAUGAAGCUCAGACAGACUCAUCCCCCAUAAACAGCAUUCUUUCAGUCUGACUUACUACCUGGCACACUGGAUCCACAGCACCUACUCAACAACACCAGGAACAUUCCUUCUGCACUAUUUAAACAUAAAGCUGACAGAAAUACUCACGAAUUUGGCGUGAGAUGAAUAUUUUACAACUUUUGGUUAAUCUGUACGUUAAGAAGGUUUUUGUCUGUGUGUCUGUGGUUUCAGAGCAUUUUGACAUGAAACAUUCGUCUUUGUAUGACAUUAAAUUACAAAAAUAAAACAGUAUGUAUAGUAUUUGUCUUGCUAUGGGCUAAGUUAUGGAAGCCCGUUUCCGCCACUAAAAAAAAAAAAAAAAAAAAACAGUAAUUGUGACUUUUUAUCUCAAAAUUCUGACUUUUUUUCUCACAAUUGCGAGCUAUAAAGUCAGUAUUGCGAGAUAUAAACUUGCAAUUGCAUGAUAUAAAGUCACAAUUCUGACUUUAUAACUCGCAAUUGUGAGAAAAAAGUCAGAAUUCUGAUAUAAACUCGCAAUUGCAUGAUAUAAAGUCACAAUUCUGACUUUUUUUUCGCAAUUCUGACUUUUUUCACACAAUUGCGAGUUAUAAAGUCAGAAUUCGGAGAUAUAAACUCGCAAUUGCGUGAUAUAAAGUCACAAUUCUGACUUUUUUUUCGCAAUUAUGACUUUUCACACAAUUGUGAGAUAUAAACUCACAAUUGUGUGAAACUUUUUUUCUCGCAAUUCUGACUUCCAUAUUAAGUUCGUAGUUAGCAUUUUAUGUAUCAUAAAUAAACACAAUUAAAAAGCUCACACUUUUUGAAUAAUUUGGCAAAAUAUAGUAAUAAUAAAUAAUAUUUACUUUUUUUCUUGAUUUAUUCACGUCGCAAAAAAGUCAUAAUGCAUAUAAAUAAUCCAGGAGAGUUUUAAAUAAAAAAAAAUAAAAAAUUUAAUCUGUUAAAAAAAAAAAAGGGCCGGGGGGAAAAAACACCCAUAUCAACACACAGAAGUAAAUCCAUUGGUUGAAUUUUUAUUUUAUUUUGCUGUCUUUAAGAUGUAUAUUUAAUACUAGGUCUGCUGUAAUACAUCAUCCAUAAACAACUAAGUGAUGUGCAGGUUAACUGAGCUGUAGCAGUUAAAAGGAAGAGACAGAAACCAGCCUCUGUGCUGGCUUUAGAUGAGAUGAGGGAUUGUUUCCUUCUUCAGACAAUUUCUUAUUUAUUGUUGGAUGCGGUAUGUGUUUCAGGGAAUGCCCAUGGAAAACUUCUGGAGAACUUCAGAUUAAAAGUGACACUAAUAUGGCACUUGGACCUCAACAUGCGGCACAAGGGCUAGGAAAAGGUAAGCAUUAUUUAGACAAUGUCUAAGUAGUCUAUUUAGACUUUAAGGUGAUGUGUGUCACUUUUAUGUUAAAAUAAUAGGUUGAUUAUCUUGAAAAGUGUUCUGCAAUAUUUAAUCCGACAUUGCAAUGCUGGCUCAACCAAUGACACGAGUUUCAGGGGCGGGAUUAUCCGAUUUUCUGACCAACAGCAGAUGAUGUUUGAAAAACCAGUUUGAAAACAGUCAUUAAUUUAAAAAUUCUUUACUUAAAUUCUUUAAUUAUCAUCAUUUUAAAAAGCGAUGCAGAAAUUGCACAGCAAAUCAAAGCCAGAAGCUAUUAUAAGCUCCUCUGAAGCGAUUAAUAAAUGAUUGAAUUUAAAUACAUCCUUCACUCUAAAGUGCUUAUUUAAGUAUUAAAGACAAACUGGUCUAUCUACCAUAUCUGUACAUCCAUUAGACAAUAGCGCUUGCAGUGAACCCUAAAAUGAAUAUCAGGUGUCCUUUUAAAGAGAGUCAAUACCCCAAGGUUAAAAGAUCAAUGUCUGAUUUAAUUCAUCAAUGGGCUUGUUUUAAUUUCUCUGAAGUGGCCCGGAGCACACUUCUUUGAAGCGAAGCAGGAUGGGGCUCAACAAAUCAGGUUUCAGACAGGUUUGACUCAAGGUCGAUCAGUGUUCUUAUUAACGCCUUAAGGAGGACGACUUCAGUCAUCUCUGCUAAUUUCCACGAGAGAACUCUGUGAGGAUGGGAAUGUGCCCUCUGCUUCUGUCUCUCUACCCUUCAGGAAAUUGCUUUAAUGUUUCAUUUCCCCCGACACAGGAUAAGCAGGAAAAACAGCGAACUGUCCCCUCAUCGCUCAAACGAGCAGCGCAGAGUCAACUGGGCACCAUCCCAAACCACACGGCUGCCAACCAUCUUACUGCGGAGCACGUGCUGAACUCUGGGUGAUGUCAAAAGUCCAUUGACGAUAGUUGUGAUGGAAAACAUUUCUAGGGAGAUGUACUGUCUCUCUAAACAUUAAAGAACAAUACGCAAGUACAAUAAAACAGGAUUUUCCUAACUCUUUUGAAAUGGAAGUGAUUACAUGGCCCACUUUGAUAAAUGAGGCUGUUUAUCACAUGAAAGAGGUUAGCCAAUGAUAACAGAGCUAAUGUGCAUACAGUGUUAAAAGUGCCCGUUUAACUUUAUGGUUUAGAAAAAGGGUGAAAAAAAUUAUCAUGUUUUAUUUAUUUUUUUACUUUUUUUUUUUUUUUGGCUGAAACCCAUUUCCACUUCAGUCUACUAUAUACGUGAAGCAAAUAAUUGCUUAGAUGUCAAACAGGUUCUAAUGAAAUCCAGUUUAAAUCCAAUUUAUAUGCUGGAUCAUCCCGUUUUUGUGUCUAUAGCCUCAGACAGGCUGAUUUGCACCAUUUCAAGGCUGCUUCAGUCAUUGCAUGCAUCUCCUUUCAACAUUUAGCCAAUCAGAGCAGGCCGAUGUGUCAGCAUGUCUGCUCUGAUCCUUGGUAUCACCUCAAGUCGCACUGACAACUCACUGCGCUUCAGAGGGCUGAUUAUCCAGCCAUACGAGGCAUUUGCCCUCGCUGCUGGAGACGACGCUUGUCCACAAACGCUCAAAACCACACGGUCAUGACAGAGUAAGGCAAUAUAAAACACACAACACAUGUGUUGACGUUUUUAUAGAAAAUCCCUCUAAUAAAAGUGGAUUUCGUUUCAACUUUUUCAAGUUAAAGUAGAUUUGAGCUCUGUCAUCUUGAAGUAUUCGUUUUCUCUGAAAUAGAGUAUUCCUCCCGGUGCAGUUUAAUGUCAGUUUGGUGUAUUACCGAGACUAGACGCUUCAGACACCUUUAAUUUAUUAAAUUGUACAAUCUUACACUCAAAAUGCUUUGGCUGAACUUUCGCUCUUGCCAACUGACUUAUGUUAAUCUGGGACAUUUUAAUACUUAAUAGGACAUUUAUUUGUCAUAAUUACUUAAAAAGAGUAUAAGAUAUUUAACAUUUGCAUUUAAAUCCAUAUUUGGUUUUUGUGUUAAAUGCUCUUCUUUCCCUCAGACGGCUGUUUAAGUUAGAAUGCAGGGGAGGUUUCAUCUGAUUAUGUUGGAGAUGUUUCCUUUUUGUCAAAAUGACAGUUUCUCCAUAUGGCCUCCAACAUACUUAUGGAGACAACAACAUACGUGACUUAAGCUUAAGGUUUCCAACGUUCCUAUCGUUCCCUGCAUUCCCAAGGCUCCCUACCCUUAUAAAAUAGCACAGAACUAUUAAGAGCAUUUAUUUAAUAAACAAUGCCAUGAAGACUUAACGAUGCUACAAAUCUUAUGGUAAAACAGAUCAUGGGUAUGAGUUAAAAAUAUCUCACAACUUUCGUUUGACUAAAAGUUACAAAAAUAAGAUGGGGAUUAAAUGUUUCAUUUUUCAUUCUUAUUAGGGUAGGGAGAGUUUAUGGGAUGUUCCCUGAUGCCACUGCAAUGGCAAUGAAGAGAGAGCAUAAUAACAUUAUAUUAAUCAGAGGAUCCUGAAAAUAUGUAUCAUGGUUU